RNAcentral lists this ribosomal RNA (670 nucleotides) under uncultured bacterium. Its description in RNAcentral is "bacterial SSU rRNA". It matches the Rfam family "Bacterial small subunit ribosomal RNA", at positions 62 to 728 of the family's 1533-position model. The record is from RNAcentral.
UCGAACGGCAGCAUGGGACUUCGGUCCUGAUGGCGAGUGGCGCACGGGUGAGUAACGCGUACACAACCUACCUAUAACAGGGGGAUAGCCACUGGAAACGGUGAAUAAUACCCCAUAGUAUUACCAAUUUGAUUAAUAGGUAAUUAAAGUUCCGGCGGUUAUAGAUGGGUGUGCGUCCGAUUAGCUAGUUGGUAAGGUAACGGCUUACCAAGGCGACGAUUGGUAGGGGGCGUGAGAGCGUGAUCCCCCACACGGGUACUGAGACACGGACCCGACUCCUACGGGAGGCAGCAGUAAGGAAUAUUGGACAAUGGGGGCAACCCUGAUCCAGCCAUCCCGCGUGUAGGAAGACUGCCCUAUGGGUUGUAAACUACUUUUAGAUAGGAAGAACGGUCCCGAUUUAUCGGGAUAUGACGGUACUAUCAGAAUAAGCACCGGCUAACUCCGUGCCAGCAGCCGCGGUAAUACGGAGGGUGCAAGCGUUAUCCGGAAUCACUGGGUUUAAAGGGUGCGUAGGCGGCCUGGUAAGUCAGAGGUGAAAUGCACGAGCUUAACUGGUGAAUUGCCUUUGAAACUAUCAAGCUAGAAUUAUGUUGAGGUCAGCGGAAUGAGUCAUGUAGCGGUGAAAUGCAUAGAUAUGACUUAGAACACCCAUUGCGUAGGCAGCUGG